RNAcentral lists this ribosomal RNA (460 nucleotides) under uncultured bacterium. RNAcentral's name for it is "partial 16S ribosomal RNA". It matches the Rfam family "Bacterial small subunit ribosomal RNA", at positions 338 to 795 of the family's 1533-position model. The record is from RNAcentral.
CCUACGGGAGGCAGCAGUGAGGAAUAUUGGUCAAUGGACGAGAGUCUGAACCAGCCAAGUAGCGUGAAGGAUGACUGCCCUAUGGGUUGUAAACUUCUUUUAUAUGGGAAUAAAAUGUUCCACGUGUGGGAUUUUGUAUGUACCAUAUGAAUAAGGAUCGGCUAACUCCGUGCCAGCAGCCGCGGUAAUACGGAGGAUCCGAGCGUUAUCCGGAUUUAUUGGGUUUAAAGGGAGCGUAGGUGGAUUGUUAAGUCAGUUGUGAAAGUUUGCGGCUCAACCGUAGAAUUGCAGUUGAAACUGGCAGUCUUGAGUACAGUAGAGGUGGGCGGGAUUCGUGGUGUAGCGGUGAAAUGCUUAGAUAUCACGAAGAACUCCGAUUGCGAAGGCAGUUCACUGGACUGCAACUGACACUGAGGCUCGAAAGUGUGGGUAUCAAACAGGAUUAGAUACCCGAGUAGUC